This is a long non-coding RNA of Dendrobium catenatum, 1494 nucleotides long. RefSeq lists it as uncharacterized. NCBI's taxonomy places the organism in Eukaryota, Viridiplantae, Streptophyta, Magnoliopsida, Asparagales, Orchidaceae. The record is from RefSeq and is a predicted model, not a curated record. The transcript has 4 exons.
UGGGACGUCUCUUGUCCUAGUUAUUUUCUGCUUUUAGCUUUGUCUGGAAGAAGUUUUGGUUUUUUGGAGAUACUUGGUAUAAUUUACUAUUUUCUUCAGACCUGGGAAGAACAUUUUGAUGGCUGCAGGUGGUUUUUAUCUACUGUUCAGUCAUGUUCCAUUUUGAAGAACAGGAUGCUCAUUUCUUGGGUAUACGGAUUGGUUCAUACCCGAAUUAAUGGUUACAAAAACUGGAGACAUUGCUACAAUCCGACGAUGAUGACCAAGCCAGAUUCCUCUUGUUUGCCAUGGAAGGCCCUUUCUGGCAACCUGGCAUAUUUUUUCGGACAUCCUUGGGAUAGAUGGAAGUUCUGUGAGGGCCUUUAUCUCGCCUGGCAACCGGAGCUUCCUCCUGCGCUGGACGGUUUUCACUGAAUGAGUUUUUGUUGACUGGAACUGGCUUAUUUUGCCUGAGUCUAUUUGAUUGUUUUAUGUCUCCUUUGUAACUAUUAGUUUUGGGCUUUGUUCUAUUGUUCUUAGCUUUUCUAUUUUAUAGGUUUUCUCCUGCUUAUCCAGGAUUCCCUCUGUAAUUUUUUCUGAUUUUAAUACAAUGGGCUUUGCCCCGGGUUUUCCCAAAAAAAAAAACUAAAGGGGCGAAGGGCAGAAGUCGGAAGGGUUUCACGCGCAAGGAUUCAGCAGUUCAGCGGUUCAGACGAAAGCUUUCUUCUAAUCUCGUUGGAACGCCGAAAGCCUACACUUCACCUUCAGCGGCUCACGGCGGCUUGUGACGGAUCGGCGACAGUCGGCUGCCCGCAAAUACUGGCUCUCCCAACAAAUCAAACGGAUGCGGUCAUAUAGGGUUUCUUCUUUGGACGGGAGCAUUUCCAUACCAGCUAGAGUAUUCAUUCAACUCUAAUCAUGUAAUGCUCGAUGUGCCUUGUCGACUAUGAAGAUGAGGAGGAAGGGGAGGAUAAGCCAUAGCUGCCAUAUUAAGGCUUUUACCAGAUUGUGGGCAUUUAUUUCAUGCCAUGGGUGUGGAUCCAUGGUUACGAUAACCUCCAACUUGUCCGAUGUGUCAGUCAUUGGUGAUGAAUGGUGCCGCGCCUAUGCCUUUAGCUGGAUCGAGUGCAAACCUUGGAAGCCUAAGCUUCUUCUUUGACUGCUGGUAUCAUGUUUGCACUUCAAUCUGUUCUUGUGUUUAGCUGGAGAAAAAGAAAAAAAAAAUCUGAGACAGCUAGAUGGGAGGACCGGAAUUGACGACAAACAGAAGAUGCAUAAACAGCUUACUUGUAGAGAGCAGGCGGCAGGAGAGCACCACGGGGAAAAACACAUCAGUUAAAUCUAUGUCGUGCUUGAAGAUUAAUUCUAGGGGAGCAUUUGAGCAAAAUUGAUUUGUAAAUAUCUAAAAGUGCAAUUGGUUUGUAAAUAUUUUGUAAGCAAUUGAUAUGUAAUAUUGUGGUUUCACUGAUUUGUAAAUGAUUUAUUAAUUGUAAAUUGUAAAUCAACCUCCUGUAA